This 346-nucleotide unclassified non-coding RNA is filed under the name soil metagenome. RNAcentral describes it as "partial contains 5.8S ribosomal RNA, internal transcribed spacer 2, and large subunit ribosomal RNA". The stretch from base 1 to 120 matches the Rfam family "5.8S ribosomal RNA", at positions 35 to 154 of the family's 154-position model. The record is from RNAcentral.
GAUGAAGAACGUAGCAAAAUGCGAUAAGUAAUGUGAAUUGCAGAAUUCAGUGAAUCAUCGAAUCUUUGAACGCACAUUGCGCCCGCCAGUAUUCUGGCGGGCAUGCCUGUUCGAGCGUCAUUUCAACCCUCAAGCCCUCGGGUUUGGUGUUGGGGAUCGGCGAGCCUUUCUGGCAAGCCGGCCCCGAAAUCUAGUGGCGGUCUCGCUGCAGCCUCCAUUGCGUAGUAGUAAAACCCUCGCAACUGGAACGCGGCGCGGCCAAGCCGUUAAACCCCCAACUUCUGAAUGUUGACCUCGGAUCAGGUAGGAAUACCCGCUGAACUUAAGCAUAUCAAUAAGUGGAGGA